RNAcentral lists this long non-coding RNA (1190 nucleotides) under Macaca mulatta (Rhesus monkey). RNAcentral describes it as "lncRNA (ENSMMUG00000065210.1)". Lineage: Eukaryota; Metazoa; Chordata; Mammalia; Primates; Cercopithecidae. The record is from RNAcentral.
GCAAGGAAACUGAAGCUGAAGAGAUAAAGAUCAUUUAACUAAGAUCCACAGUGACUAUCAUUUCUCCACCUGAUGUCGAGCAACAUUGUCCAGGAUUGGAAAAUGCUUGGGUUGGAUCAAUUUAUAGUUUAUCAGAUUUGCAAAAUCUCCUAAAGAUGGCCUUGCUCUCUCCUCCAAGGCUGAUGACUGGAAUGGGAACUGAAGAUGAAUAAAUUAGAAGCCUGAAAAGACCAAUCCUCUUUUUAAUUAAAAAGAAGAGUCCUUUAUUGCAUGAGCACCGGCAUUGGUCAAAGCACGAAGAGCAUCAGGAUGCCUGGCUUUGAAUCCCGAGGUCGUGAAGGUGAAUCCAAGGGGGAAACGGGACAGCAGCACCAUUGGAAGAGAUGCUCAGUGUCUGGGGGGAGUGGCUCUGGCCUCACAAGUUAGGAUCUGGCGGGUUUGAGUCUCUACUUACCAGCAAGGAUGAUCCUGAAACGAAAGAGCCAACAGAAACAGGAUUCCUGCAUUUGUGUUUAGUGGAACUCUUUGAGGAAUGAACACACGCGUGUGGGCACAGGCCAGGUUAUGUUGCAGGCAUAAAUAAGCCACGGCAAAGUUUAUUUCUUGCUUCCCCAGUGUCUGUGGAGGUCAAGGCUGCUCUCCAGAACAGCUGCCCUUGAAGGGCACAGUGGCACAGCCUGGCCUCAUCCUGUGGCUCCAUCAUCUUAACCUUCAACAGCAGCCUCUACUGUCCCCAUGCCAGUAGAGAGAAAGCCUGAGGCCUGGCCUCCUGGAAAUCAUGUGGGUUGGGGCCACAGCCCCACCAACGCCGUAGGGCUGGCCAUGGAGUGUGUAGGAGCCCAGAAGAAGAGGACAAGGGAAUGUUGGUGAGUACUGAUGACUUCCACCACUCGUGAGAGACAGGCAUAAGGAGUCACUUAUAUCUUUCAGUUAAAUGAGUACUUACUGAGCCAAUACUUAAUGUUUAGCACUUUUUUAGCCUAGGUAGUUGGUGAGAGUGGAGAGGGGAUGGUACGUAAAACAGAGUCCUCAUCCUGUAAGUGUUGAGAGCUUUCUGCAAAAGCAAGAGACUUGAAAUAAUUUAACAGCAAUGAAAGGCCUCCUGUGACAACUUUCCUAAUUUUACUUUUCAGACAAUUUUUUGGGAGAGGAGUUAGGAGAAGAGAUGGGCAGUCCAGGCAGAAUAGUCU